UAUUGUUCACAUUUUUAGGGUUUUUCAAAAACUUGAUUUUUGUGUGUUUCUAGUGUUAGAUCCUUGUUCCCUAACACUAUUAGAGUCUAGAAAUUGAAAAUUUCAAUAGAAAAGAAGUGUCAAAAUCGAAAAUCGCCCCAAAAAUACUAAACCCGUUUUUAAACCUAGGUCAAAUUUUGAGUUUUUGAUUUUGUAUUUUUCUUGUGGUUUUAGUGUUAGAUUUGUGUUCUCUAACACUAUAGGAGUAUAGGAUUCGAAUUUUACCUAAAUUGGAGGUUAUUUGAGCCAUCCACCAUUGUUGAGCUUGAGUUUGAAGAAACUUGAAGGUGGGAUCUCAUUGUGGGAGGUUGUUUUGAACUCACGUGUGUUUUGUUUUGUAGGAUUUGUAUUAUAUUGUUGUGUGUGACAUUGUGGAAUGAUUGGGUGUCUUGAUUGGACUGUAACUUAAAGGGUUAAUUUUCGGUACCACCACAAUGGAACCCGAGGCGUCAAAUGCUCAUUCAAUGGACAAUAAUACUAUCAAUCUCAUUUUGGCUCGCCUUGAAAUUAUGUCCCGAGAUGUGGCUAGGUUGAAUGUGGGUCUUGAAAAAUUAGAUACGGAUGUGGCAUCAAUAGGUGGGAGAUUAGAAUGUAUGGAAAGACAAAGGAGCCGAUCGUCCACCCCUGAAAACAUUUCCCCAACUAAUAUUCCCGAGACCUUGCACCAAAUGCUAUAUCCACCAAUUGCCACAAAUCAAACCAAUCUUUACUCCUAAAGUUGAGAAAAAGAUAGACCAAGCCAUCCCCCUCUCCACCAAGUCCAACAAGAAGGGCUUGGAACCCAAAUACCACCACCAAACCUGAACCCUCUCAUCCAAACUCUACUUGAUCAAAGACCUCACUAUCCAAAUCCAAUCCCGCCACUACAAGCUCCAGUUAAGCCAAAUAGACCCAUCUAUGUUGAGGGAUAUGUUAGGGGAGGACAACAUGGUGGUUAUGAGCCGUAUGAUGAUGUUUACUUAAAGGAAGAAAGAAUGAGAGGUAGACAUGGGGAUUUAGCCCUAGAGGUGAGAGAUGGCCACCCAAAUCGAGAUGUAGGUCUCAAUUUCAUCAAAGCGAGCCUUCCCAUUUUCAAAGGUGAGAGUGAUCCCUAAUCUUACCUUGCAUGGGAGUCGUCUUAUGACAAGAUCUUCCAUCUUAAUGAUCUCACCGAAGAAAAGAAAAGUUGCUAUGCUAUAGCUCACUUCGAAGGGUAUGCUAAUACAUGGUGGGAGUAUCUUAAAAGGUUUGGGAAUGAGAUGAUUGGGGGACAACCUCCUCCUUGGUUUCAGUUGAAGAACCUUAUGCGGCAAAGGUACUUGCCCGAGACUUAUAGGCAUGAGCUCCUUGCCAAAUAGUACAAUUAAAGGCAAUGGAGCAAGAGUAUCAUGGCUUACUACAAUGAAUUUCUACAAUUGAUGUUGAAACUUGACCACCUAGGCGAGCAAGUAAGUCAUGACAUUGUGCGCUUCAAGGUUGGGUUAAACAAGGACAUCUCCACUCGCAUGACGCUUCACAAAUUCGACACCAUAGAUGGCAUCUUCUAUGCGGCUUUAGAGUUUGAGAGGAAGCUCAAAGAGAACUCAUUCAUGGCUGCCCAACCCGAGGCCACUAAGGCUGUCCAAAAACAUCCUCUAAGGUAUAAAGGUAAAAAAGAAUUCUACUUCCAAUCCCAAGGGGUUUCAAUGCUUCAAGUGUCAGGGGCACAAAGCUAGUGAGUGCCCAAACCGGAGGAAUAUAAUCCUAAGGGAGGGUAGAUUGUACUAUCUUAGAGAAAAGGUGGGCAUCGAAUUGAUAAAGAAUGGUGGAAAACUGCAAGAUGGAGAACAAAAAGAAGUCGAGGUACAAAAUGAAGAAUAUGUAGAAGAUGUGUGGCCGCAAGAAGGAGAUUGUGAAGUGCCUUUGUAAAAGAGGUGAGCCCGUGAAUUUGUGGUCAAAUUCCUCUCAAGAUGGAGAGGAUGAUACAAGUAUGAUCAUGAUCAUGACACUUUUGAGUAUUUUUGAAGAUUAGUCACUAAAGGGCUCUUUUGUCAUUUAUUUAUAAUGUUGUAUAAAUAGAACUUUGUAGGGUUUAUUUUCUUAGUUUAUGUUUGUUAUUGAAAGAACACUUCUCUUAGAUAAAGAGAGAGUCCUAAACCGAAACUAGGUCAUAGCACAAGGGUGGAAUCAUUUGUGUGUUGCAUUUGCUUGAUACGUUGGUGCUUGGGGGGUGGAAGCCUCUCUUGUGUCAUUGUAAGAGAUAGGUGAUUGUAGUGUGUGGUGUUAAGGGUCCAAUAAUAUCACAAGUUCUUGGGUUCUUAAGAUUAUACCUUCAUUUGUCUAUCUUCCUAUCUUUACUUCCUUGUAUUUGUUUGUUUUUAUUCCAGUAUAAUCCGUUUGUGUUCUUGUCAUUCUUACCAUGUGUUGUUGUUAUUAUUAUCUUAUUCUUCAUCUUGUUGUGUUAAUCUAGUUUUGGUUGGCUGCCUUGGUGUGAUAAACACCCCGUAAUCUCUUUAUUCUUGUCUAGUUAGUGAAUCGAGAGUGGUCACCAAAGAGGUCCUCAGUUUCUAAGACUUGUGGACUGUUUUGGUGUACGUUUUAGUGUCUUCUUGGUCUUUCUUGUAUCAUACACUGACUAUGCUUUGAAUAUGAAAUUGAUCAAUCAAGAUGAUUACAAUAAUAUAAACAAAUUAUAUCCACAAUGUCAAAAAGACAUUAAGCUUUGUGCAAAUGGUAGUGAAGAUGCUUAUUUGACCGGAUUUAGAGAUUGCAUAAGCAUUUUCAACAAUUUACUGGAUAUUGCAGGCGAUAUAAAUGUAAGAGGGCGGAACUUCUUUCAUUGUUUUCUAAUGAUUCAACGGUGUCAUAUAACUACAACAAUCAAAUGUUUUUUGGUGACUUUUUACCUGCAGUACUAUGAUAUAUAAAAGACUUGUCAGGGACCACUCUACUAUGACUUCUCGAGAAUGGAUACUAACCUCAACGACAACCAAGUUAAGAAAGCCCUUGGUGUUCCCAGUGUUAUUGAUUUCGUCUCAUGUAGUUCUUCAGUUUAUCAGGCGAUGGAGACGGACUGGAUGAAGAAUUUUGAAGUCCCUAUUCCUCCGCUUCUUGAAGACGGUAUCAAUCUACUCAUUUACGCUGGAGAAUAUGACCUUAUCUGCAACUGGCUCGGUAAGCUUCAUCCACCUAUAACAGAAGAGAAUUCUUAUAAUAUAGACAAUGCCAAUCUACGACUAAACUGAUGUUUUUUUAAAUGGACCAGAACCGGGAACUCAAAUUGGGUGCAUGCUGUAGAAUGAUCUGGGAAGAAAGGCUUUGGUGCUGCACCAUCUGUUCCUUUCACAGUAGACGGUGAGGAGAAAGGUGUUAAAAAGAGCUAUGGACCUCUAACUUUCCUCAAGGUCCAUGAUGCAGGUCAUAUGGUGCCGAUGGACCACCCUAAGGCCGCACUCGAAAUGCUUCAGAGGUGGACUCAAGGCGAAUUGUCCUAGGCCGGUCAUCAGGAACCAUACAUACCGAACAGAUUUACAAUUUUCCUGCUUAUAAUCUCAGGAAAACAUAGAAAAUCAUGUAGAUACAUUUCACCGUUUCUGGUGAAUGUUAUUCUUCAAAGAUAAUGGAUCAAGUGUUACAACAUAUAGUGAAGCACAGUGUUUACUCUUA
Molecule: long non-coding RNA, 3663 nt
Organism: Capsicum annuum
Lineage: Eukaryota; Viridiplantae; Streptophyta; Magnoliopsida; Solanales; Solanaceae
Exons: 2
Source: RefSeq, a predicted model, not a curated record